This 186-nucleotide ribosomal RNA is filed under the name uncultured Staphylococcus sp. RNAcentral's name for it is "partial 16S ribosomal RNA". It matches the Rfam family "Bacterial small subunit ribosomal RNA", at positions 154 to 334 of the family's 1533-position model. Lineage: Bacteria; Bacillati; Bacillota; Bacilli; Caryophanales; Staphylococcaceae. The record is from RNAcentral.
AAACCGGAGCUAAUACCGGAUAAUAUAUUGAACCGCAUGGUUCAAUAGUGAAAGACGGUUUUGCUGCCACUUAUAGAUGGAUCCGCGCCGCAUUAGCUAGUUGGUAAGGUAACGGCUUACCAAGGCAACGAUGCGUAGCCGACCUGAGAGGGUGAUCGGCCACACUGGAACUGAGACACGGUCCAG